UACGGAGGGUGCAAGCGUUAUCCGGAUUCACUGGGUUUAAAGGGUGCGUAGGUGGGUUGGUAAGUCAGUGGUGAAAUCCCCGAGCUUAACUUGGGAACUGCCAUUGAUACUAUCAGUCUUGAAUACCGUGGAGGUCGGCGGAAUAUGUCAUGUAGCGGUGAAAUGCUUAGAUAUGACAUAGAACACCAAUUGCGAAGGCAGCUUACUACACAGUUAUUGACACUGAGGCACGAAAGCGUGGGGAUCAAACAGG
RNAcentral lists this ribosomal RNA (253 nucleotides) under uncultured bacterium. RNAcentral's name for it is "partial 16S ribosomal RNA". It matches the Rfam family "Bacterial small subunit ribosomal RNA", at positions 524 to 776 of the family's 1533-position model. The record is from RNAcentral.